UACGUAGGGUGCGAGCGUUGUCCGGAAUUAUUGGGCGUAAAGGGAGUGUAGGCGGCUAGGAAAGUCUUCUGUGAAAUCUACGGGCUCAGCCUGUAACGUGCAGAGGAAACUAUCUGGCUAGAGUGUCGGAGAGGAUAGGGGAAUACCCGGUGUAGAGGUGAAAUUCGUAGAGAUCGGGUGGAACACCAGUGGCGAAGGCGCCUGUCUGGCUGACAACUGACGCUGAGACUCGAAAGCAUGGGGAGCAAACAGG
Molecule: ribosomal RNA, 253 nt
Filed under: uncultured bacterium
Lineage: Bacteria
Description: partial 16S ribosomal RNA
Rfam family: Bacterial small subunit ribosomal RNA
Source: RNAcentral